This 24-nucleotide small nuclear RNA is filed under the name Arabidopsis thaliana (thale cress). Its description in RNAcentral is "snRNA_14428". Lineage: Eukaryota; Viridiplantae; Streptophyta; Magnoliopsida; Brassicales; Brassicaceae. The record is from RNAcentral.
GUCAAGUCGGAUUUUUUGAAUUCU